UUUUUCCCCAUCAGCUCAAGGUUGGGAGCCACUGCUGAGAUUAAAGAAAAAAUAAAGAGCACUAGGACCAAAUGGAGGUGUGCUAUCAAAGGUGACUCUUUGAUGAAAGAGUCAAAUGUGGCCUACUAGAAACUCCAAUGAACAAAUGCGACUGGAAAAACUUGAGGGUUUUUUUUUACUUUCAUAGAUAAUAUCUGCUUUGCCAACACAGCUGCUGCUUUUUCAUGGAACAUAGUAAAACACUUUUUAGCAUAUUUGUUUCAUUGUUUGUCUAAUGUUUUAGAAUCAGGAAACUUAAGGAGUGACUUCCUAAAAAAACUGUACAAAACCCACAAUCUACAGGAACUUACACUAAAUAAUAAUCUCAAAAGGAGAAAAAAAGAGCAACAAAGUUUAGAAAAAAAGAUUUGGGAAAUUAUUUCUAAAAGUCAACCUAUUCAGAAUGCACCAUGAAAUUAAGAGCAGGGUCAAUUUCAGGGAGACUGAAGAUUAAGAAGAACUACAGCUUUUGAUUUUUCACAACUCUUACACAUUCAGGGCUUUAGCUAGGAGAUCAUAAAAUUUUCAAACAAUAGAAAAAGCCUUUGUGGG
Molecule: long non-coding RNA, 591 nt
Filed under: Bos taurus (domestic cattle)
Lineage: Eukaryota; Metazoa; Chordata; Mammalia; Artiodactyla; Bovidae
Description: long non-coding RNA NONBTAT016257
Source: RNAcentral